UACGGAGGGGGCUAGCGUUGUUCGGAAUUACUGGGCGUAAAGCGCACGUAGGCGGCUUUGUAAGUUAGAGGUGAAAGCCCGGAGCUCAACUCCGGAAUUGCCUUUAAGACUGCAUCGCUUGAAUCAUGGAGAGGUGAGUGGAAUUCCGAGUGUAGAGGUGAAAUUCGUAGAUAUCGGGAGGAAUACCAGUGGCGAAGGCGCUGGGCUGGACGGAUACUGACGCUGAGGUGCGAAAGCGUGGGGAGCAAACAGG
Molecule: ribosomal RNA, 253 nt
Filed under: uncultured prokaryote
Description: partial 16S ribosomal RNA
Rfam family: Bacterial small subunit ribosomal RNA
Source: RNAcentral